UGAAUUGGGAUUUGUCGAAUU
RNAcentral lists this microRNA (21 nucleotides) under Fragaria vesca subsp. vesca. RNAcentral's name for it is "fve-miR11288c-3p". The record is from miRBase by way of RNAcentral. Lineage: Eukaryota; Viridiplantae; Streptophyta; Magnoliopsida; Rosales; Rosaceae.